This 457-nucleotide ribosomal RNA is filed under the name uncultured bacterium. RNAcentral's name for it is "bacterial SSU rRNA". It matches the Rfam family "Bacterial small subunit ribosomal RNA", at positions 338 to 795 of the family's 1533-position model. The record is from RNAcentral.
CCUANGGGUGGCAGCAGUGAGGAAUAUUGCUCAAUGGGCGAAAGCCUGAAGCAGCGACGCCGCGUGAGGGAUGAAAUCCGUUAGGAUGUAAACCUCUUUUGCGAGGGAAGAAUAUCCGCUUUUAGCGGAGGUGACUGUACCUCGUGAAUAAGCACCGGCCAACUACGUGCCAGCAGCCGCGGUAAUACGUAGGGUGCAAGCGUUGUCCGGAAUUACUGGGUGUAAAGGGUCCGCAGGCGGGCAAGCAAGUCGGUGGUGAAAGUUCACGGCUCAACCGUGAAAUUGCCUUCGAUACUGCUUGUCUUGAGUUCGAGAGAGGAUAAUGGAAUUCAUGGUGUAGCGGUGAAAUGUGUAGAGAUCAUGAAGAACACCGGUAGCGAAGGCGGUUAUCUGGCUCGAAACUGACGCUCAGGGACGAAAGCGUGGGUAGCAAACAGGAUUAGAUACCCCANUANUC